GCAAAUGCAAAGAACAGAAUACGGUCAUUUAAAAAGAAGUACUUCAGAGAGCCGGUGGUUGGUGUGAACCGGUGUAUGGUUUGAAUGAUUAUCCUCUGCGAGCAGUGCACUGAAUUUCUUGUGAAGUGAUCAUAGAAAUGAUUAUGUUCGGAGAAUAGUAGGUGUCACCGGUUUUCUACCGUUACAUAGAAGCUUAUUUCCGGAAACAGAUUCCCGAGAUGAGACUAAGUGGUCGCGAAAACGGCAAGUAAAGUGGUAACGCGGAAGUUUUAACCUUCGUCUUUAUA
RNAcentral lists this non-coding RNA (287 nucleotides) under Clostridium sp. Its description in RNAcentral is "T-box sequence". It matches the Rfam family "T-box leader". From Rfam's summary of the family: Uncharged tRNA acts as the effector for transcription antitermination of genes in the T-box leader family. T-boxes are found upstream of many aminoacyl-tRNA synthetase genes and some amino acid biosynthetic genes usually in Gram-positive bacteria. The record is from RNAcentral. Lineage: Bacteria; Bacillati; Bacillota; Clostridia; Eubacteriales; Clostridiaceae.